AGAGUUUGAUCCUGGCUCAGGAUGAACGCUGGCGGCGUGCCUAAUACAUGCAAGUCGAACGAACCUCGCAAGAGGUUAGUGGCGACCGGGUGCGUAACACGUAGCUGACCUGCCCCUCAGCGGGGGGCAACAGUGCGAAAGCGCUGCUAAUACCGCAUACGCUCGGAGUGCCCAGAAGGCUCUGAGGAAACUUACGGGGUUGAGGGAGGGAGCUGCGGCCCAUCAGGUAGUUGGUGCGGUAACGGCGCACCAAGCCAACGACGGGUAGGGGGCCUGAGAGGGUGGUCCCCCACACUGGGACUGACACACGGCCCAGACUCCUACGGGAGGCAGCAGUAAGGGAUAUUGCGCAAUGGGCGAAAGCCUGACGCAGCAACGCCGCGUGGAGGAUGACGGCCUUCGGGUUGUAAACUCCUUUUGGUUCGGACGAGGAAGGACGGUACGGACUGAAGAAGUCACGGCUAACUACGUGCCAGCAGCCGCGGUAAAACGUAGGUGGCAAGCGUUAUCCGGAUUUACUGGGCGUAAAGCGUGUGCAGGCGGUUUUCCAAGUGGUGUAUGAAAUCGCCCGGCUUAACCGGGCGGGGUUAUGCCAGACUGGGAGACUGGAGUGCGGGAGAGGGGCGUGGAAUUCCGGGUGUAGUGGUGAAAUGCGUAGAGAUCCGGAGGAACCCCAGCGGCGAAGGCGGCGCCCUGGCCCGACACUGACGCUCAGACACGACAGCAUGGGGAGCGAACGGGAUUAGAAACCCCGGUAGCCCAUGCCGUAAACAAUGCCAACUAGGCGUCGGCGGUCUCAACCCCGUCGGUGCCGGAGCUAACGCGGGAAGUUGGCCGCCUGGGGAGUACGACCGCAAGGUUAAAACUUAAAGGAAUUGAUGG
This 882-nucleotide ribosomal RNA is filed under the name uncultured bacterium. Its description in RNAcentral is "bacterial SSU rRNA". It matches the Rfam family "Bacterial small subunit ribosomal RNA", at positions 8 to 916 of the family's 1533-position model. The record is from RNAcentral.